Molecule: ribosomal RNA, 491 nt
Filed under: uncultured bacterium
Lineage: Bacteria
Description: partial 16S ribosomal RNA
Rfam family: Bacterial small subunit ribosomal RNA
Source: RNAcentral
AGUGAACGCUGGCGGUAGGCCUAACACAUGCAAGUCGAACGGCAGCACAGUAAGAGCUUGCUCUUACGGGUGGCGAGUGGCGGACGGGUGAGGAAUACAUCGGAAUCUACUUUUUCGUGGGGGAUAACGUAGGGAAACUUACGCUAAUACCGCAUACGACCUACGGGUGAAAGCAGUGGAUCUUCGGACCUUGCGCGAUUGAAUGAGCCGAUGUCGGAUUAGCUAGUUGGCGGGGUAAAGGCCCACCAAGGCGACGAUCCGUAGCUGGUCUGAGAGGAUGAUCAGCCACACUGGAACUGAGACACGGUCCAGACUCCUACGGGAGGCAGCAGUGGGGAAUAUUGGACAAUGGGCGCAAGCCUGAUCCAGCCAUACCGCGUGGGUGAAGAAGGCCUUCGGGUUGUAAAGCCCUUUUGUUGGGAAAGAAAAGCAGUAGGUUAAUACCCCGCUGUUCGGACGGUACCCAAAGAAUAAGCACCGGCUAACUUCGU